Molecule: long non-coding RNA, 1595 nt
Filed under: Canis lupus familiaris (dog)
Lineage: Eukaryota; Metazoa; Chordata; Mammalia; Carnivora; Canidae
Description: lncRNA (ENSCAFG00000053622.1)
Source: RNAcentral
UCCUGAUUGACAGUUGAGGGAUAUUUCUUACUUUCUCUAUCCCUCUAACCCAAAGGAUUAUUGUGAGAGCAGUAAUAUAUGUAAAGUCAGGCUCUUUCCUUACCUCCUCUUAUGGAAACCUGGACUUCUCUUCUACAGCACACCUGGCAGUUUGUAAUUCAGUAAUUAUGAAGCCAGCUCUUUCGUAUGUGUCUCCUCUGCCUUCUGCUGGGAGAUGUGCUUCCGGAAGGAAGGAAGGAACCUCUCCUCUUUACUGUGGUGUUCCAGGCACCUGGCACAUCCAUGAGUCGGUGCCGCCUGGGCGAAGUCCCAACAGUAUGUGGCGUAGACUCCCCGAUUUAUAAACAUUGCUUCCCUUCUUUCUCAUACACGGAAUAUGACAGUUUUCUUUUCCCUGUUCUGUUCCUAGGAGUUUGGCGAAUUUCUCUGCUCCUCCUAUAAUACAUGAUAUUACUGGCAUAUUGGUUACUUCUGACACUUCCUAGGGGCUCUUCCUAGUAGCACGGAUCUUCUUAACAACAUCGACAUCAAAUUCUUCUUGAACUAAAAGCAUAAUCUCUCCUACUUUUACCUGUCCUUACAAUGGUAUUUUUCCUGAAUUGUUUCUUAGAGAUAAAAAAAGGUAACUUCCGGGUCUACUUAUAGUAUUUUGAAAUAGUCUACUUAUAGUAUUUUGAAAAUGUUUAUUUCAUUUUGCUUAAGUUCACAGGAUGAAUAUGGUACCUUCAGACCGCUAUUAUACUGCUCCUUAUUGCAGGUAUUAAGUAAGAAACCUAAACCCUGCAGCAGAUGUCUACAUUCUAUUUACCCAAAGGCAGAAGGAAAAUUAAAGGUAUCAUCCAAACCAUUGUUUGCUCAUUAUACUCAUUUUCAUGUUGACUGACUUCUUUAUGAAUAUAACAAUAUUCCUUUAUUCCAUCGAUUCAUGGCAGCACUAAAAUAGAUUACAGCUCCAGGUUUGUCUUCUGCUUGCAUUCAUGACGAGGGCUCUGAAGAACUGCACAUUUCCAGGAGAGGGGUUUCCAUGGAAACCUGGACAAAGGGAAAGCAAAAUAAUUCUUCAAGGCCUACUAGAAAAAAAAAAUUCCACCUUGCUUUUUGUUUGCAGUUCUGUGUCCCCUGAGCAGUCUGGCUGGCUGGCACUGUCCUUGCUCUCUAGGAAUUGCUGUCUGAAAUGUAUAUAUAGCAUGAUGCAUCUCGGCAAUCUGCAAAAUAGGAUUUGGGAUCACCAAAAUAUAAACUCCAGUACCAACCAAACUUGAGUCUAUCCAUGGAAUCGUAGAAAAAGAAUAAUCACAUAAUUGCUGCCAGAUUCCAUCAAAGAGCUCUUUAUUCAGGGAAGAUGCUGCCUUGCCCAGCUUAUGUGAGUUUCCCUGUGACUUCUCAGAAAUAUCAUUUGUGUAGAAUGAAGUCUGUGUCUGCCCAUUAGAAUAAGAUUCCAUUAAAUAACUAAAUCAUAUUCCACGUUCAUCCAGCUACUUCCUGAUGAUUUGGCUUUCCUGAUAGUUUUCUAAGAAAAGAGAAUCUGUUGGUCAGUUUAGUGGAGUGUCAUUGGUUGACACUUGCUGUAUAUUAAUUAGGUGGUUUAUUUAUCA